GAUCAGUUUCUCUAGUCGAAAAACAAUGAAGACGGUUUUAUUGAAGAACUAUAAUCAUUCCUAUUUCCAUUCCCAGCAUUUCCAUUGGAAGCAGACAUCCUUAUCCAGAGUGAUCUACAGAAGAGCUUUGGAGUCUCUGUCCGAACCACGUCCUCGUGCUAGUUCACCAGAUGGAUGAAACCGACGUCCCUCUUUGUCCUUUUUGGGUCUUUUUGCGGUCUGGGCUUGCUGUUCCUUGAACCAGUAGCCAGGAAGCCCUUACCCCAAAAAGUAUCUGCAGAGGGCAAUUACACUGACACACUCAUCCCUAUCUGUACACAGCUACUACACUGUCAAAGAAGUAACCAAGACACCACUCUGUAGGAGCUGGAGAGUUCAGAUGGGAGAAGCUGUUGACAGGACAACCCCGAUACCCCACAAAGCUGGUCUUAAUGGAAGACUAGUGAAAAAAGCCAUCUGAAAUCGUAUUGGGAGUUUGCAAAAAGGCAUGUUGGAGAAUCAGCACGCAUGUGUAAAAAGGUCCUCUGGUCUGAACUGUUUUGGCCUUGGUGCUGUGUUUGGUAUAGAUUUCCUGAUUUUGCACCAUUCCUACAUGGUGGUGGUAGCAUCAUGCUUUUCAUCAGCAGGGACUGUGAAACUGGUUUAGUGUAAGAUGGAUGGAGCCAGAUACAGAGCAAUCCUAGAAGAAAACCAGCCUGAAAGAGACAUGUGGCAGAGAUUCACUUUCCUUCCAGCCUAAGCACAACAACCGCUGUUCCCCAACAGUCUCCAGCCAAGAGGAGAAGAACGGGCAAAAAUAUCACGAUCCAGAUGUGCAAAGAUAAUAGAGACGUAUCCCAGAAGACUUGCAGCUGUAAUUUCAGCCAAAGCUCGUUCCUAGAAUUACUCACUCCUUCUCCCAGACUCCAUCACAACGCUGAACCCUGCCUCCACCGCCACAAAUACACGGAUAACUGGCUGUCUGUCUGUCUGUCUGUCGGGUUUUUUUUAAUGUAUUAUAUUGACUUGUAUUUUGUACUAUUUUCCUGAAUGUUGGGGAAAUAUGAGUUAAAGAAUUAAAUGCUUAUUAACUUCAAUGCAGGUGCAAACUUCUCUUCUCGCUCUCCAUUUAUUAAUCACACUUAAAUGACUUUAAAGAGAUAGAAGAACAUUUGCAGUAAAAUGCAAGGAUUCACCCUUAUGAGCUGAGUUCAUGCCCUGAUCCUGUUUUCUUAACUGUUUCAUCUUUUGAAUAAGCGCUGUC
Pangasianodon hypophthalmus (striped catfish) is the source of this 1243-nucleotide long non-coding RNA. RefSeq lists it as uncharacterized. The transcript has 4 exons. The record is from RefSeq and is a predicted model, not a curated record. NCBI's taxonomy places the organism in Eukaryota, Metazoa, Chordata, Actinopteri, Siluriformes, Pangasiidae.